RNAcentral lists this ribosomal RNA (494 nucleotides) under uncultured bacterium. Its description in RNAcentral is "partial 16S ribosomal RNA". It matches the Rfam family "Bacterial small subunit ribosomal RNA", at positions 28 to 507 of the family's 1533-position model. The record is from RNAcentral.
GACGAACGCUGGCGACGCGCUUAACACAUGCAAGUCGAACGGAAGGGCCUGCUUUCCCUUGUGGAUUGCGGGUACUCGAGUGGCGAACGGGUGAGUAACACGUGAGUGAUCUGCCCCCAACUUGGGUAUAAGCCUGGGAAACUGGGUCUAAUUCCCGAUAGGACUGCAGGGUGGUGCCUGUGGUGGAAAACGAUUUUCUAGUGGUUGGGGAUGAGCUCGCGGCCUAUCAGCUUGUUGGUGGGGUAAUGGCCUACCAAGGCGGCGACGGGUAGCCGGCCUGAGAGGGUGGACGGCCACAUUGGGACUGAGAUACGGCCCAGACUCCUACGGGAGGCAGCAGUGGGGAAUAUUGCACAAUGGGCGGAAGCCUGAUGCAGCGACGCCGCGUGGGGGAUGACGGCCUUCGGGUUGUAAACUCCUUUCGACCGCGAGGAAGCCACCUGGUUGGAAGGGUGGUGACGGUAGUGGUAGAAGAAGCACCGGCUAACUACGUG